CCUACGGGUGGCAGCAGUGGGGAAUAUUGCACAAUGGGGGAAACCCUGAUACAGCGACGCCGCGUGAGUGAAGAAGUAUUUCGGUACGUAAAGCUCUAUCAGCAGGGAAGAAAAAAAGUCCUUUGGACUUUGGACGGUACCUGACUAAGAAGCCCCGGCUAACUACGUGCCAGCAGCCGCGGUAAUACGUAGGGGGCAAGCGUUAUCCGGAUUUACUGGGUGUAAAGGGAGCGUAGACGGCAAGGCAUGUCUAGAGUGAAAUGCCGGGGCCCAACCCCGGAACUGCUUUGGAAACUGUGCAGCGGGAGUGCAGGAGAGGUAAGCGAAAUUCCUAGUGUAGCGGGGAAAGGCGUAGAUAUUAGGAGGAACACCAGGGGCGAAGGCGGCUUAAUGGACUGUAACUGACGUGGAGGCUCGAAGGCGUGGGGAGCAAACAGGAUUAGAUACCCGGGUAGUC
Molecule: ribosomal RNA, 457 nt
Filed under: uncultured bacterium
Lineage: Bacteria
Description: partial 16S ribosomal RNA
Rfam family: Bacterial small subunit ribosomal RNA
Source: RNAcentral